GCCCGGAUGGUGAAAUUGGUAGACACACCAGCUUGAGGGGCUGGCGCCGGUUACGGUGUGCAAGUUCGAAUCUUGUUCCGGGCA
This 84-nucleotide transfer RNA is filed under the name Bacteroidales bacterium. Its description in RNAcentral is "tRNA-Leu". It matches the Rfam family "tRNA". Rfam says of the family: Transfer RNA (tRNA) molecules are approximately 80 nucleotides in length. Their secondary structure includes four short double-helical elements and three loops (D, anti-codon, and T loops). Further hydrogen bonds mediate the characteristic L-shaped molecular structure. tRNAs have two regions of fundamental functional importance: the anti-codon, which is responsible for specific mRNA codon recognition, and the 3' end, to which the tRNAs corresponding amino acid is attached (by aminoacyl-tRNA synthetases). tRNAs cope with the degeneracy of the genetic code in two manners: having more than one tRNA (with a specific anti-codon) for a particular amino acid; and 'wobble' base-pairing, i.e. permitting non-standard base-pairing at the 3rd anti-codon position. The record is from RNAcentral. Lineage: Bacteria; Pseudomonadati; Bacteroidota; Bacteroidia; Bacteroidales.